CCAAAUAUUCCUUCCAAGUUUUGAGUCAACUGUCAAGGGUCAACAGUUUCUUUGAAUCCCCGUGUCAUGGUGGACUGUAGAAGGCAAAGCUCUGCACGAGUUUGGUAAAGGGACAAAAUUGAAAAAGAACUCACUCUUUAUAGUUAGUUAUAGACUUAUGGAUAUGGUUAAGUGGCAACCCCUCAAAGAAGAAACUCAAGCUCUAGCAAGUCACAACACAUGUAACCUCCUCAUCGCGUACAUGUGUGCCAAACCCAAUCUGUGUUAUAUAUAAAAAGUGACUGAGGUUGUUGAAGAAAAUCUUGGCCCUUUUCAUGUUCUUCAGAUUACUUACUACUAAUCUCUCUUUCUCGGAUGAAAGGCAUCAUGAGUGGUGUGGAUCCAGCUUCUGUGAGCAAAGGAAUGAAGAAACAAGAGAAUCACAAAAACCACUUCAAUAGAGAUGUCAUGCUGGGGAGUGAUCUUUGGACUGAUGGACUAAUUUGUGCUUUUGAAUUUAUUCGAGGCCAUAGGAAGACCCGAUCAGUACAAGAUAUGGCCAAGAAGCAGGUUUCAUCAAGUGAACUAAAUAGUUGUUUACCCCCGAAAGGUAGUGGGGAGAACUUUUGUAAAUCUGCACCCCAAUUAUACUCUGGAAUUGGUGAUAGUGAUAUGGUUGACGAUCAUACUGAUAGCAAGGAUUAUCAAUCAGGCUGUUACCAUGGGAAGGAAGAAUUCCCGAGAAGUUACUGGAUACCGAUAGGUUGGGCUAGAAUUUCUGAACUUGUCCAGAAAGUGCAAGUUGAUGUUGGCUGGGCCUUGCAGCCUUUCAACUUCUCAGAUGAUGAAGAUGAUGUGACUGUUGCAGAUGUGGCCGCUCCUUACUGGGAACGCCCAGUGGGACGCACUUGGUGGUGUCACGUAGAUGCAGGUCACCCAAACAUAAGUGCCUGGUUGAGUAAUGCUCAAUGGUUGCAUCCUGCUAUUAGCAUUGCUUUGCGAGAUGAAAGUAAGCUGAUAAGUGAGCGAAUGAAGCACCUUCUAUAUGAGGUUCCUGUUAGAGUUUCUGGGGGACUAUUAUUUGAGCUCCUGGGGCAGUCGGCAGGAGACCCAUUUGUUGAUGAGGAUGAUAUCCCCAUUGUUCUUCGGUCAUGGCAGGCACAAAAAUUUCUAGUAACAGCUUUGCAUGUCAAAGGGUCAGCGUCAAAUAUAAAUGUGUUGGGUAUUGCAGAAGUCCAGGAACUGCUUGCUGCUGGAGGUACUAACAUACCAAGAACUGCUCAUGAGCUCGUUGCACAUCUAGCUUGUCGCCUUGCCCAAUGGGAUGAUAGGUUAUUUCGCAAAUGUAUAUUUGGGGCUGCCGAUGAAGUUGAGUUGAAGUUUAUGGACAGGAGAAACCAUGAGGAUAUGCAUCUUUUCAGUGUAAUUCUGAAUCAGGAAAUCAGAUGGUUAUCAAACCAGGUUAUCAGGGUGAAAUGGUCACUCCAUGCAAGAGAGGAAAUUGUGUUUGAGCUUCUUCUACAUUUGCGAGGCAAUACAACAAGGGGCUUGCUAGAAGGAAUGAGAAAGAGCACCAGGGAAAUGAUUCAAGAGCAGGAAGCAGUUCGUGGACGCUUAUUUACCAUUCAAGAUGUCAUGCAGAGCACAGUCCGCGCAUGGUUGCAGGACAGAAGCCUCACUGUUACGCAUAAUUUAGGAGUUUUUGGGGGAUGUGGCCUUGUUCUUUCCAUCAUUACUAGCCUUUUUGGGAUAAAUGUCGAUGGCAUACCUGGAGCUGAUGGGUCUCCAUAUGCAUUUCUUCUAUUUUCUGGCAUCCUCUUCUUGCUAGGAAUUGUGUUAAUUGCGAUUGGGUUGCUGUACCUUGGGUUGAAAAACCCCAUUAUUCAAGAGGAUGUUGAAACGAGAAAAUUAGAGCUCCAAGAGCUGGUUAGGAUGUUUAAGCGAGAAGCAGAAUCCCAUGCACAAUUACGAAAGACUGCUCCUCGGUCCAAUAUGUCUCCAACUGCUGCAGAUAGACUUCCUGAUGGUGCAAAUUAUGUUCUCAUCAGCUAAUCACAGGAAUCCAAAUCUAUCCCUUUGUUUUGCAGAUCUUUCUAUCUUUUCUCUCUCUGUUCAGGGAAAGUUGAGCCGUUGAGGAUCUCCUUCUCAGUCACUGGGUGCUAGAUAUGACAAGGUUCCAGAAUCACUCAAAUAUAAAUCUUGAUUGCGCUUAAUUGUGGAAACAAUGAGAAGAAAAUCCAAGAAAUUGCUGAGAAUCUCUCCAGAUCAGAAUCUAAAGGACAUGCUGGCUUUUGGGGAAAGGGUUGGAGAAUGUUAGAUGCGCAUUAGUGCUUGUUAAUGAUGAUCUGAUUGUUAUGAAACAAACGGCCUUCUGCAUAUACCUCUUGCUUCUGGGAUGUAUUUUCAAAUAAACUGCCUCUCUCUCUCUCUCUGUACUCAAGAAAUUUCUCUUCAAAUAGGUUCCUUUUUCAAUUUCCAGUUGGAGUUAGAGCUCUCAUUUCGACACUUCUAUCACCAUAAUAUAAGAUUGCCUUACUUCCAUUA
This is an RNA transcript of Quercus lobata, 2523 nucleotides long. RefSeq lists it as uncharacterized. The record is from RefSeq and is a predicted model, not a curated record. Lineage: Eukaryota; Viridiplantae; Streptophyta; Magnoliopsida; Fagales; Fagaceae. The transcript is spliced from 11 exons.